CCCUUAGAUGUUCUGGGCCGCACGCGCGCUACACUGACGCAUUCAACGAGUCUCCUUGGCCGAGAGGCCUGGGUAAUCUUGUGAACGUGUGUCGUGAUAGGGAUAGAUUAUUGCAAUUAUUAAUCUUGAACGAGGAAUUCCUAGUAAACGCAGAUCAUCAAUCUGCAUUGAUUACGUCCCUGCCCUUUGUACACACCGCCCGUCGCACCUACCGAUUGGAUGGUCCGGUGAGGCCUCGGGAUUGUGGCCGGUGCAUUCAUUUGUGUCGGUUGCGAGAACUUGUCCAAACCUUAUCAUCUAGAGGAAGGUGAAGUCGUAACA
Molecule: ribosomal RNA, 321 nt
Filed under: uncultured eukaryote
Lineage: Eukaryota
Description: partial 18S ribosomal RNA
Rfam family: Eukaryotic small subunit ribosomal RNA
Source: RNAcentral